Molecule: ribosomal RNA, 1249 nt
Filed under: marine metagenome
Description: bacterial SSU rRNA
Rfam family: Archaeal small subunit ribosomal RNA
Source: RNAcentral
AUGUUUUCUCUUCUAAGCCUCGGCGCCUAAGGAUGAGUUGGCGGUGGAUUAGGUUGUUGGUGGGGUAAAGGCCCACCAAGCCGAAGAUCCAUACGGGCCUUGAGAGAGGUAGCCCGGAGAAGGGUACUGAGAUACUGACCCUAGCCCUACGGGGUGCAGCAGGCGCGAAACCUUUACAAUGCACGCAAGUGUGAUAAGGGAAUUCCAAGUGCUCUGUUUAACAGGGCUUUUGCUAAGAGUAAAUAUCUUGGCGAAUAAGUGGUGGGUAAGACUGGUGCCAGCCGCCGCGGUAACACCAGCGCCACGAGUGGUGACCAUUUUUAUUUGGCCUAAAGCGUUCGUAGCUUGUUUAGUAAAUCUUUUGUGAAAUCGUUAAGCUUAACUUAACGGCGUGCAGAAGACACUGCUGAACUUGGGACUGGGAGAGGUUAGAAGUAUUUCCAGGGGAGCAGUAAAAUGCUAUAAUCCUGGGAGGACUACCGGUGGCGAAGGCGUCUAACCAGAACAGGUCCGACAGUGAGGAACGAAAGCUAGGGGAGCGAACCGGAUUAGAUACGGGAAAUCAGCCAAGCUGAUUUCUGGAGUUAUCUUGUAAUUCGUUUAUAAAAACUAUUAUGAGAUAUUGAAGGAAAUUGUCAUAAUGUUGAUUUACUCGCUAACUACCCGAGUAGUCCUAGCUGUAAACGCUGCGAGCAAGGUGUUGCAUAUUCUCCGUGAAUAUGCAGUGUCGAAAUGAAGAUGUUAAGCUCGCCGCCUGGGAAGUACGGUCGCAAGACUGAAACUUAAAGGAAUUGGCGGGGGAGCACUACAAGGGGUGCGGCGUGCGGUUUAAUCUAAUUCAACGCAGAAAAUCUCACCAAGGGCGACGGCAGGAUGAAGGUCAGGCUAAAGGUCUUACCAAACAAGCCGAGAGGUGGUGCAUGGCCGCCGUCAGCUCGUGCUGUGAAGUGUCCUCUUAAGUGAGGUAACGAGCGAGACCUGCACUCAUAAUUGCUAGCGAACUCUUUGAGGGAUCGAGCACAAUAUGAGGACUGCCUUGGAAACAAGGAGGAAGGUGCAGGCUACGGUAGGUCUGUAUGCCCCGAAUCCUUUGGGCUACACGCGCGCAACAAUGGUAGGGACAAUAGGAUAAGACUCUGAAAAGAGAAUUUAACCCUUUAAACCCUAUCCAAGUUCAGAUUGAGGGCUGUAACUCGCCCUCAUGACGAUGGAAUCCCUAGUAAUCGGAUGUCAUCAUCGUCCGGUGAAU